Pezoporus flaviventris is the source of this 2482-nucleotide RNA transcript. It is a transcript of the gene named limb and CNS expressed 1 like, with no coding region annotated. The record is from RefSeq and is a predicted model, not a curated record. The transcript has 7 exons. Lineage: Eukaryota; Metazoa; Chordata; Aves; Psittaciformes; Psittacidae.
CCUUCCCUGGUUGCGAUGGAGUCGGUGCGGGCGGCGCGGCUGCAGCCGGGGCUGGGCUCGCUGCGCUCCCUGCGCCCGGGGGUCACCGGGGCCCCGGCCCCGCCGCCCGGCCCAGCGGCAGCGCUGCCAGCAGCGGCUCCGGGGCUGGGGCUGGGGCUGCCGCCGCCGCCGCCCCCGCUGGGGCUGCAGGGACCCGCCGCGCCGCCGCUGCCCGGCUGCGGGCCGCCCGCUGUGCUGCGGGAGGCGGUGGAGGCCGUGGUGAGGAGCUUCGCCAAGCACACGCAGGGCUACGGCCGCGUGAACGUCGUGGAGGCCCUUCAGGAGUUCUGGCAGAUGAAGCAGUCACGCGGCGCUGACCUGAAGAACGGAGCCCUCGUGGUGUACGAGAUGGUCCCUUCCAACAGCCCCCCUUACGUCUGCUACGUCACCCUGCCUGGGGGCAGUUGCUUCGGCAGCUUCCAGUUCUGUCCCACCAAGGCUGAAGCCCGGAGGAGCGCUGCCAAGAUCGCGUUGAUGAAUUCCGUGUUCAAUGAGCACCCUUCCCGACGGAUCACGGAUGAGUUCAUUGAGAAGAGUGUUUCUGAGGCUCUGGCAUCCUUCAAUGGCAAUCGAGAGGAAGCUGAUAAUCCCAACACCGGGAUUGGUGCCUUCCGCUUCAUGCUGGAAUCUAACAAGGGGAAAUCGAUGCUGGAGUUCCAGGAGCUGAUGACCGUGUUCCAGUUGCUGCAUUGGAACGGCAGCCUCAAAGCCAUGCGGGAGAGGCAGUGCUCACGGCAGGAGGUCCUGGCUCACUAUUCCCACCGUGCUCUGGAUGAUGACAUAAGGAACCAGAUGGCCAUGGACUGGGUGAACCGGGAGCAGAGCAGCCCGGGGGCUCUUUCCAGGGAGCUGGCAUCCACGGAGCGGGAGCUGGAUGAAGCCCGCCUGGCUGGGAAGGAGCUGCGCUUCCAUAAGGAGAAGAAAGACAUCCUGAUGCUGGCUGCUGGCCAGCUGGGAAGCACACACUCCUCCAGCUGCUAGGCUCCAGUGCUGGCAUCCCAAUUCCCAAUGGGAUCCAGCCCUAAUGCAUGUUCCCAACUUCUGGCCCAUUUGCACAGCGAAGAGGAAUUGGAAAGGGAAAAGCUCCUUUAGAGAUCUCAAAACCAUGUUGUAAUACUUUGCUUCCAGCUCUGCUCCUCCUGCUCUGGUGGUAUUCCAGAGGCGGCAGCAUUCCAGGGAUUUAGCACUUCUUGGAGCACAGACCUGCUUUCUGGUGCUGUUCUGCUUCUAGAAUAGAGGGGGCUCUAUCAACCCCCUUCACAACAAGUUCAAGCCCAGAGGGGAAAAGCUCCUGAGCAUGGCAAAAGGGACUUAAACCGGGAUCUUGUCUGGCCAGGCUUAAACAUGGGAAUCCGGCAUUCCAGGCUUGGGAUUUGCAGCCCUGCUCUGGCUCUUCAUGCCCAGGGUGGGCUGUAGUGCAUUAACAACCACGCCAUAUGGUGCUUAAGGGGGGUUUAAUUCAUCUCCUGCCCUGCUCCUCCUUAAUCCUUGUUGGAUGCUUGGAGUGUUGAACCCAAAUCCCAGCUGCAGCUGGGAAUUCUGCUGGCAAUGGAGGGUUUGGGUUUCCAGGUGAGUGUUUGAUGCUCAAAGGAGGUGGAUGUUCCUUCUGGAGCAUCCUUCCCAAGCCAGCUUCCAAAGGCCUAGCUAGGCUUCCCAUGGGAAGCAGGGAAUGGGGAGCCCUGGGAAUGCCAGGACUUCAAAUCAGGUCUGGUUCCCUGCAGCUGGGGUUAAGUCCCAGUUAACCAGAGCUGGGUUUAAGUCUUGCUAAACCAGAACUCAUUUAAAGUCUUGCUUAACCAGAGCAUGUUUUAAGUCUCAGUUAACUAGAACUGAUUUUAAGUCUUCCUUAACCAGACUGAAGUGUUUAAGUCUCAGUUAACCAGCGCUGUGCUUAAACCUCAGGUAACUGGAACUGAUUUGAAGUGUCAGCUAACUGGAGAUGGGUUUAAGUCUUUGUUAACCAGAUCAGUGUUUAAGCCUUACCUAACCAGAGCUGGGUUUAAGUCUUGCUUAACCAGAGCAGUGUUGAAGUCUCAGUUAACCAGAGCUGUUUACGUCUUGCUUAACCAGAACUCACUUUAAGUCUUGCUUAACCAGAACAGUGUUGAAGUGUCACUUAACUAGAACUGAUUUUAAGUCUUGCUUAAGCAGUGUUUAAGUCUUCCUUAACCAGAACAGUGUUUAAGUCUUACCUAAGCAGAGCUGGGUUUAAGUCUUGCUUAACCAGAACUCACUUUAAGUCUUCGUUAACCAGAGCCAUGUUUAACCCUGAGCCAGGGCUCAGGUCCUGCCCCUUGCUCCCGGCCAUUCCCAAACCCCUUCCUCCUUUUCCAACGCGGGCAGCUGGAAUUCCACCCCCCGCCUUAGCCGUAGCUCCUCCACUUUUGUAAUCUUGUCCUAACAAACCCGGGUUAGUGGGAUUUGUACCUUUUUUAUAUACGCA